This 265-nucleotide small nuclear RNA is filed under the name Octodon degus (degu). RNAcentral describes it as "7SK RNA (ENSODEG00000023070.1)". It matches the Rfam family "7SK RNA". From Rfam's summary of the family: 7SK was discovered as an abundant small nuclear RNA in the mid-70s but a possible function has only recently been suggested. Two independent studies have found that 7SK RNA binds the CDK9/cyclin T complex (known as elongation factor P-TEFb). P-TEFb activates transcription by phosphorylating the C-terminal domain of RNA polymerase II. The record is from Rfam by way of RNAcentral. Lineage: Eukaryota; Metazoa; Chordata; Mammalia; Rodentia; Octodontidae.
GGCUAUGAAAGCAAUCUGGCUGAGACAUCAGUCACCCUGUGAUGACCAGGGUUGAUUUGGUUGAUCGGGCUGGCUAGGCAGUUGUCCUCUUUUGUCCUCAACACUCCUUUUAUGUCCAUCCUCAAACUGUACACUUGGUCAAAGAUAACAACCACUAUCAAUAAAAGAGGACCCUUCCUCAGCCAAGGGUAUAUGAGUAAGUGUGCUCCCCCUCUCCUCUACCUCCAAACACGUACUAAAGAAACAUAGGUCUGGACCUCUUUGU